Molecule: transfer RNA, 75 nt
Filed under: Azospirillum lipoferum
Lineage: Bacteria; Pseudomonadati; Pseudomonadota; Alphaproteobacteria; Rhodospirillales; Azospirillaceae
Also listed under: 1 other name
Description: tRNA_Val_TAC
Rfam family: tRNA
About the family: Transfer RNA (tRNA) molecules are approximately 80 nucleotides in length.
Source: RNAcentral
GGGCGAUUAGCUCAGCGGUAGAGCGCCUCGUUUACACCGAGGUGGCCGGGGGUUCGAUCCCCUCAUCGCCCACCA